CCUACGGGGGGCAGCAGUGGGGAAUAUUGGACAAUGGGGGGAACCCUGAUCCUGCCAUGCCGCGUGUGUGAAGAAGGCCCUCGGGUUGUAAAGCACUUUCAGUGAGGAAGAACGCCUGGUGGUUAAUACCCAUCAGGAAAGACAUCACUCACAGAAGAAGCACCGGCUAACUCCGUGCCAGCAGCCGCGGUAAUACGGAGGGUGCGAGCGUUAAUCGGAAUUACUGGGCGUAAAGCGCGCGUAGGUGGCUUGAUAAGCCGGUUGUGAAAGCCCCGGGCUCAACCUGGGAACGGCAUCCGGAACUGUCAAGCUAGAGUGCAGGAGAGGAAGGUAGAAUUCCCGGUGUAGCGGUGAAAUGCGUAGAGAUCGGGAGGAAUACCAGUGGCGAAGGCGGCCUUCUGGACUGACACUGACACUGAGGUGCGAAAGCGUGGGUAGCAAACAGGAUUAGAUACCCGAGUAGUC
Molecule: ribosomal RNA, 465 nt
Filed under: Vreelandella stevensii
Lineage: Bacteria; Pseudomonadati; Pseudomonadota; Gammaproteobacteria; Oceanospirillales; Halomonadaceae
Description: partial 16S ribosomal RNA
Rfam family: Bacterial small subunit ribosomal RNA
Source: RNAcentral